GAGUUUGAUCGUGGCUCAGAUUGAACGCUGGCGGCAGGCCUAACACAUGCAAGUCGAGCGGAUGACGGGAGCUUGCUCCUUGAUUCAGCGGCGGACGGGUGAGUAAUGCCUAGGAAUCUGCCUGGUAGUGGGGGACAACGUUUCGAAAGGAACGCUAAUACCGCAUACGUCCUACGGGAGAAAGCAGGGGACCUUCGGGCCUUGCGCUAUCAGAUGAGCCUAGGUCGGAUUAGCUAGUUGGUGGGGUAAUGGCUCACCAAGGCGACGAUCCGUAACUGGUCUGAGAGGAUGAUCAGUCACACUGGAACUGAGACACGGUCCAGACUCCUACGGGAGGCAGCAGUGGGGAAUAUUGGACAAUGGGCGAAAGCCUGAUCCAGCCAUGCCGCGUGUGUGAAGAAGGUCUUCGGAUUGUAAAGCACUUUAAGUUGGGAGGAAGGGCAGUAAGUUAAGUACCUUGCUGUUUGACGUUACCGACAGAAUAAG
This 486-nucleotide ribosomal RNA is filed under the name bacterium enrichment culture clone ALO1_GLFRUDD03FMOIG. Its description in RNAcentral is "bacterial SSU rRNA". It matches the Rfam family "Bacterial small subunit ribosomal RNA", at positions 9 to 490 of the family's 1533-position model. The record is from RNAcentral.